CCUACGGGCGGCAGCAGUGAGGAAUAUUGGUCAAUGGCCGAGAGGCUGAACCAGCCAAGUCGCGUGAGGGAAGACGGCCCUACGGGUUGUAAACCUCUUUUGUCGGGGAGUAAAGAGAUUCACGUGUGACUCAUUGAGAGUACCCGAAGAAAAAGCAUCGGCUAACUCCGUGCCAGCAGCCGCGGUAAUACGGAGGAUGCGAGCGUUAUCCGGAUUUAUUGGGUUUAAAGGGUGCGUAGGCGGAGGUGCAAGUCAGCGGUCAAAUUGCGGGGCUCAACCCCGUACUGCAGUUGAAACUGCAUGCCUUGAGUGCGCGAGAAGUAUGCGGAAUGCGUGGUGUAGCGGUGAAAUGCAUAGAUAUCACGCAGAACUCCGAUUGCGAAGGCAGCAUACCGGCGCGCAACUGACGCUCAUGCACGAAAGCGUGGGUAUCGAACAGGAUUAGAUACCCCUGUAGUC
This 459-nucleotide ribosomal RNA is filed under the name uncultured bacterium. Its description in RNAcentral is "partial 16S ribosomal RNA". It matches the Rfam family "Bacterial small subunit ribosomal RNA", at positions 338 to 795 of the family's 1533-position model. The record is from RNAcentral.